This is a long non-coding RNA of Parus major (Great Tit), 1591 nucleotides long. The record is from Ensembl. NCBI's taxonomy places the organism in Eukaryota, Metazoa, Chordata, Aves, Passeriformes, Paridae.
AGCUCAAGAAAAGGAAUUGUGAUUUCACCUCAUUAGAAGGUUUUUCUCUUUUCUUCCUAGGUUUUAUCAGUAAAUGAGAAAGAUCACAACUGUUGUCUGCCCAGCCCUGGGGCAGUGUGAGACAAAACAAGAAAGAUAUUCUUUUAGCAAUUGCUUCCCAUGUCAAUGCACAUAAAGGAGUUUUCAUUUAGUUUGUUGGAGAACAGCAUCUUCUGCCGAGAGGAAACUAAUGCAGAAAAGGAAAUGCACUAGAAGCUAGAUUUGUUAAUAGCAUUUUCGGACCCAUUAUGAAAUAUUUCAAAUUUGGUAGCUUGUCAGAAGAGUUUACGUCAGCAUUUUGAAGGAGGAUAAUGAGAUUGCUUGAAGUCACCAGAGGUGCUCCCAGGAGAUGAAGGCUAGAAAAAAGAACAAAAGUGAAAAUCAAUCAAGAAACAAUUUUCUCAGCACACCUGUUGAGGGGAGAAACAAGGCUCCUUCAACCAUCAAUCUGUGGCACCUCAGAGCUCAGCCUGAAAGCAAAGGCGAAACGAAAUACGAAAAUUGCAGUGCAGCAGAAGAGGAGUCAGCUAUCUGUGGGCCUCUGCUGAAAUCCCAUCUUUCGGCACUACAACCUGAAACUUGGCUGAACUUGAGACUCUUGAGAGCCCUCAGCUGGAGUUGUUCUGCUGUGUGCUGCUCCUUCUUCUUCCACAGUGGAGGUGUCAAGAUGAGUUGAGACAAAGGAAGACCCUUGAAAAGGAACCUGUAUAAUCACAGCUCCUUGCUGCUGGGACAGGUAAGAUCCACAGGCAUCCAAGAUAUGUUUUCAGCAUUGAAGCUGGCUACAAUCCAGCCAAUAGCACAGCGAGGAACACAUUCAGAAAUAUCUGCUUCAUUAUUUGAAUGCAGUAUAGGAACAUGUUAGCUGGUGUUAUAUGAGCUAACUCAAAUACUAAAAAUCUGAAUCCUGGACAACAAAAAAUAUGUUAGUUAUGACAAGCUUACUUCAUAUCUAAAUCCCACAGAGAUUUAUGUGACUUGUAAAGUUUGAACCAGAAGGUGCUCUCAGAAAACCUCAAUCCAGUUCAGCAGUUUGCCCUCCAAGACAUGGGAAACUGAAGUUCUAUGUGAGGGUGCUUGAAAUGCUACUUCCCACUACCUGGAGAACAUUGCAUAUAGUAGAUGUUACACUAUUUUGAAGCAAGCUAUUUAACCAAGAGAGAGUGUACAACCAUAAACAGAAUCCCCAUGUUCCUUCCCCACAAAGACCUCAAACUCCUUUCCAAGGUAACAUCCCUAGGUGUGUAACUGUUUGUAUUACAGUUGUCACGGUAAUGUCAGGUGACCAGGGUCAAGAGAUCUGGAUACCAGGCCUUGUGUUUAUUCUUGAGAAUUCAAUCUUUCUUUAUCCACUCAGUGGUCUUAACAGAGGUGCUACAAAGCAGGAAAAAAAAUUCCCCAUAGAAUAUUAUGAGAUUUUUAUUGAGAUGCAUUGUUUUCUGCCUGGCAAUUUUUUACAAAGGUUAACCAUGAGGUGAUGUAUGAAUGCCAAUAACCACUAGGGUUUAUAAAUUAGAAAAGGACAUUGUUAUAAAAAGAUGAGAAUAAGAAC